UCGAAUCGUUUAUCAGGAUGAUG
This is a microRNA of Caenorhabditis elegans, 23 nucleotides long. Lineage: Eukaryota; Metazoa; Nematoda; Chromadorea; Rhabditida; Rhabditidae. The record is from Ensembl.